GGAUCCUACGGGGCGCAGCAGUAGGGAAUAUUGCUCAAUGGGGGAAACCCUGAAGCAGCAACGCCGCGUGAGUGAAGAAGGUUUUCGGAUCGUAAAGCUCUGUUGUAAGAGAAGAACGUGUGUGAGAGUGGAAAGUUCACACAGUGACGGUAACUUACCAGAAAGGGACGGCUAACUACGUGCCAGCAGCCGCGGUAAUACGUAGGUCCCGAGCGUUAUCCGGAUUUAUUGGGCGUAAAGCGAGCGCAGGCGGUUGGAUAAGUCUGAAGUUAAAGGCUGUGGCUCAACCAUAGUAUGCUUUGGAA
This 305-nucleotide ribosomal RNA is filed under the name uncultured bacterium. RNAcentral's name for it is "bacterial SSU rRNA". It matches the Rfam family "Bacterial small subunit ribosomal RNA", at positions 334 to 631 of the family's 1533-position model. The record is from RNAcentral.